RNAcentral lists this ribosomal RNA (408 nucleotides) under bacterium enrichment culture clone ALO1_GLFRUDD03GSEH4. Its description in RNAcentral is "bacterial SSU rRNA". It matches the Rfam family "Bacterial small subunit ribosomal RNA", at positions 9 to 416 of the family's 1533-position model. The record is from RNAcentral.
GAGUUUGAUCUUGGCUCAGAUUGAACGCUGGCGGCAUGCCUUACACAUGCAAGUCGAACGGCAGCACGGGAGCUUGCUCCUGGUGGCGAGUGGCGAACGGGUGAGUAAUGCAUCGGAACGUAUCCUGGAGUGGGGGAUAACGUAGCGAAAGUUACGCUAAUACCGCAUAUUCUGUGAGCAGGAAAGCGGGGGGACCUUCGGGCCUCGCGCUCUUGGAGCGGCCGACGUCGGAUUAGCUAGUUGGUGAGGUAAAGGCUCACCAAGGCGACGAUCCGUAGCAGGUCUGAGAGGAUGAUCUGCCACACUGGAACUGAGACACGGUCCAGACUCCUACGGGAGGCAGCAGUGGGGAAUUUUGGACAAUGGGGGCAACCCUGAUCCAGCCAUGCCGCGUGAGUGAAGAAGGCC